Molecule: ribosomal RNA, 253 nt
Filed under: uncultured bacterium
Lineage: Bacteria
Description: partial 16S ribosomal RNA
Rfam family: Bacterial small subunit ribosomal RNA
Source: RNAcentral
UACGUAGGGUGCGAGCGUUAAUCGGAAUUACUGGGCGUAAAGCGUGCGCAGGCGGUGAUGUAAGACAGUUGUGAAAUCCCCGGGCUCAACCUGGGAAUUGCAUCUGUGACUGCAUCGCUAGAGUACGGUAGAGGGGGAUGGAAUUCCGCGUGUAGCAGUGAAAUGCGUAGAUAUGCGAAGGAACACCGAUGGCGAAGGCAAUCCCCUGGACCUGUACUGACGCUCAUGCACGAAAGCGUGGGGAGCAAACAGG